Molecule: ribosomal RNA, 811 nt
Filed under: uncultured Actinomycetes bacterium
Lineage: Bacteria; Bacillati; Actinomycetota; Actinomycetes
Description: bacterial SSU rRNA
Rfam family: Bacterial small subunit ribosomal RNA
Source: RNAcentral
GCGAGCUUGAGUAUGGUAGGGGAGUCUGGUAUUCCUGGUGUAGCGGUGGAAUGCGCAGAUAUCAGGAGGAACACCAAUGGCGAAGGCAGGACUCUGGGCCGUAACUGACGCUGAGGAGCGAAAGCGUGGGGAGCGAACAGGAUUAGAUACCCUGGUAGUCCACGCCGCAAACGGUGGGUGCUAGUUGUGGGUUCCAUUCCACGGAAUCCGUGACGAAGUUAACACAUUAAGCACCCCGCCUGGGGAGUACGGUCGCAAGACUAAAACUCAAAGGAAUUGACGGGGGCCCGCACAAGCGGCGGAGCAUGCGGAUUAAUUCGAUGCAACGCGAAGAACCUUACCAAGGCUUGACAUAUACAGGAAAAGCGUAGAAAUACGCUCCCCGCAAGGUCUGUAUACAGGUGGUGCAUGGUUGUCGUCAGCUCGUGUCGUAGAUGUUGGGUUAAGUCCCGCAACGAGCGCAACCCUCGUCCUAUGUUGCCAGCACGUAAUGGUGGGAACUCAUGGGAGACUGCCGGGGUCAACUCGGAGGAAGGUGGGGAUGACGUCAAAUCAUCAUGCCCCUUAUGUCUUGGGCUUCACGCAUGCUACAAUGGCCGGUACAAAGGGCUGCAAUACCGCAAGGUGGAGCGAAUCCCAUAAAGCCGGUCUCAGUUCGGAUUGGGGUCUGCAACUCGACCCCAUGAAGUCGGAGUCGCUAGUAAUCGUAGAUCAGCAACGCUACGGUGAAUACGUUCCCGGGCCUUGUACACACCGCCCGUCAAGUCACGAAAGUCGGUAACACCCGAAGCCGGUGGCCUAACCGUAAGGA